Molecule: ribosomal RNA, 402 nt
Filed under: uncultured bacterium
Lineage: Bacteria
Description: bacterial SSU rRNA
Rfam family: Bacterial small subunit ribosomal RNA
Source: RNAcentral
UAGGGAAUCUUGGACAAUGGGCGAAAGCCUGAUCCAGCCAUGCCGCGUGAGUGAUGAAGGCCUUAGGGUUGUAAAGCUCUUUCGCCAGGGAAGAUAAUGACGGUACCUGGAUAAGAAGCCCCGGCUAACUUCGUGCCGGCAGCCGCGGUAAUACGAAGGGGGCUAGCGUUGUUCGGAAUUACUGGGCGUAAAGCGCACGUAGGCGGCUUUCCAAGUUGGAGGUGAAAUCCCCGGGCUUAACCCGGGAACUGCCUCCAAAACUGAAAGGCUAGAGUCCGAGAGAGGUGAGUGGAAUUUCCAGUGUAGAGGUGAAAUUCGUAGAUAUUGGAAAGAACACCAGUGGCGAAGGCGGCUCACUGGCUCGGUACUGACGCUGAGGUGCGACAGCGUGGGGAGCAAACA